UCACUUAAAAUAACACAAUUUAAUAUAAAAACAAAAAAUUAAAUUUAUCGAAAUUUUAUAAAUAAUUUCGUAGUUGUUUGUUUGAUUAUUUAAGAGCAACAAAACAAAAAAUUUUAACAAUAAAAGUUAUAAUUUUAAAUAAGUUGUAUAAAAUGUGUUGAAAUCAAAAACUAAAUAAAAAAUAUACAAUAAGUAAAAUAAAUAUAACAAAAUAAAUAUUAAUAAACAAAAUUAACAAUAAAUAGGAAAUAAAAAACUGUAAAUAACCGAAGAGAGUAAAUUAGACGAAAUACACUGUAAAAAAUAUAUAUUUUAGUGCAGAAUCUAACAAUAGUUGUUCAUUACCACCUUUCUUAGUGACCUGUGACUCACCGUCUGUACCUACGAAGGUAAUACAUUUAACCGCUAUAGUUAAAAUAUACCGUUACUUCAAAGAAAUACAAAAUAAUAGAUUUUUAUUCUACAAAAUACAUUUUUUAUUUUCCAUAAAUGCUGUUUGAAACAAAAAAAAAUAUUAAAAAAAAAUUAUAAAAAAUUAAAUCAAAAGUGUAUAAUUCAUAAUUUUUUAUGUAUAAGAAUUGAAAAGGGCUAAAUAAUAUUAAACGAAAAGGCAUCAAUACGAAUACUUUCGUGUGUAUUCAAGGAUGGCUACCUUAAAUCUUUAAAGUAUGACUGCCUAAUACCCGAAAUCGCUACCGUCACUACUUAACGUGAAAAUAUUUUCCAACAGUCCAUUACUUACUCGAAAAACAUAUGAAAUUCCACACACUUCGCAUAAUUGAAUAUAUUUUAAAGUGAAAAUGCAAAAUGAAAAUCAAGAAAAUACAGAAAUAUACACUAUCUACAUUAAAAGCGCAUAAGUCUAAUUAAGUGUUUCUUAAGUUUUUAAAAUGAAAAAAGAAAUAUUAAUAAUAAAAUUAUAGUGCUCGAAACGAAGUGCAUUACAGACACGAAAUAAAUAUUUUACAGUUAUUGUAUAUGCAUGUAUUAUAUAAUGAGUUGCAAGAUCAACAUUUUUUGUAUGAGCUGCAAAGAAAUCCAUAUAAAUACAUAUAUACAGAUAUAUACAGGUUCAAUCAAUCAUAUACUGUCAUUUUCCAUUUGUAUGUAUGUUCACAGAAACCGUUAAAUGUUGUUAGCUUAGUUGUUAAUUGAAAAUUGUUAAAAAGUUUUUAUACCCAUAUAUAUAACUGUAGUACAAAGUUGCUAAAAAAUAUUUGUACACACAGAUUUAUAAAUAUACACACUGUUAAAUACUUGUAUGUAUGUAUUGAAAUCGCCUGUGUAUUUGUUAAAGUUAUUUCAAAGCAAUGUAGCAUAUUAAUUAAGCAAAAAUUGGCAAUGAAAAAAAUAUUUGAGCAAAAAAAGGCAAAAUUAUGCCUUACCAGCUGACCGAACAGUGGGACUUAAUAUAAAAAUUAUAGUGAACAGAUCCGAAGUAACUGGGUCAUAGGCGACGCAAUGGUUGUAUGGAUCCCUUUUUGUCACGGUUAAGGAUUAUUAAUACAACAGCGUUCUCAAAAACUUUUGGAAAGUGAAUUUUGUCUCCAAAAAAUCAACAAAAACAUUUAAUACCUGAUCAAAAUCUAACGAUUUUUAGUUUGAUAUUUAGCCACAAUUAUAGGUUAUGAUAUCUACAUCUGACUAAACACCAUUAAUGGACAGAAAUAAUAUUCUUUAAACAAAUUUAACACGAUCUUACGAUGCCUUGAGAACAGAAUAUCCACUUGAUUGGUUACUUCUAAGGUUCCGAUCUCUUUCCCUUAUAUAAUAUGCAUUCAGCUGAGGUUAAUGGAGUAAUUGACGUUUCGACGUUUUAUAAAAGCCUUAUAGGCACUUCAAAGAACCCCUCAUAUCAAUUAUAAACAAUACCCUAAGUAGUUAUUACUGUGACAAUUUGCUAACUGACUAAAUAAGCGGUCAGUCCGAAAUAUCUUUUACACUCGCUGUUGCUGUCAAAUUAAAUAUAAACAGCAUUGCAGUAUAAGAUUUUGGAUUCAGGUGGAACUUUCCAGUGCUCUGAAGAUAAUCUUGAAUAUUCUAGGAUUUAUGAUAAACGAGUUUCAAAUUUGAGCCUUUAUAAUGUUCCAAAAAUUAACGUUCCCCAAUCUAUUAUCCUUUUCAUAAAAGGCGAUCCAUUUUUCCAUUUUUUAAAGAAAAAACACAGGAACUUUUAAUUUAAAUCAUUGGAAAGGACAAUAUUUGGCAUUUAUUUUUUUGAAGAUUAUCUCUUUCAAAUGUUGGCCGCGGCUACGUCUCAGAUGGUCCAUCCGUUGAGUACAAUUUUCGAUGAGGAUUUCGAGCAUUUCGACUAGUAAUUGGGGAUUGACACGUGUAAGGUUUUCUCCAAGGUCUGAAUCGAAGCGGGAUUGCCCGCAUAGACUUUAGUCGAGUGAUAGCACAUCGUUAGACUUUUUCCUGUGACCGGCCCAAAAGGUGAAAUUAUCUGCUCACCGAAUUGUUCUUUCAAUAAAUCCAUUGAUUGAUGCGAUGCGUGGAAAGUGGCGCCAAAUAUGGAACGAUGAUUUCACCGGCCCACAAGCCACACCAAACUAUUGUUUUUUUCUGGAUGAAAUCGCAGCUCUUUAAUCUCUUCACGUUGCUCUUAGUCCCAAAUGCGACAAUUUACAUGACCAUUAUGUAAUGGAUCACAUCGCUAAACAAAUUUGGCUCGAAAACGCCGGAUCUUCUUGGAACUUUUCAUGAGCCCAUAGAGCGAAGCGAUGUCAUGAAGCUGUAGAAAAAAGGUCUUAUCGCUAGUAGUUCGCUUUAAAAUUGCUAAGCGAACAUUAUUUCAUCUAUUGGCUUUCGGUGUGGUGAAAUACACUGAUGUAUUCAUCAUCAAUAAAAAAACCGAUGAAGAUUGCGCCGAUUGUAAUCAUCUUUAUUUAGGUUUCAUAUUAUUAGUAUUGAACCACAGGCCAUGAAGUCCUUUUAUACGAAGCAAGAUGUCUUGGUACUUCAAAAUAAAUUGUUGCACGUCAUCAGCUGUUUUUGACAGCGUGAUCUAUCAGACAGCACAAUUCAUCAUGGAGUAAAUAUGUUGUUGAAAGCAAUUUUAUAUUUUUCGAUCUUGAUGGCAUCAAUAUAAAUGUAGAUCAAUUUCAUGUUGUUUUAAAAAAUUAGUUAAAUUAAAUAACUUCCAUAUAUGUUGGCUGGUAUCAUUCUGGAAUAAUUUUAAAAUAUUAAAGCUAAGACAAAAGGUAUAAUUUGAAAAACAAAAAAAAGUGUACACAUAAGGCGCAUUUAUGCUUUCGAUACAUAUUCGAAAUUAAUUUUCGAAAUUCGAAAUUAAUUUCUAUGCAACUGUUUGACAACUGAGUUUUUCUAUUUUAACGCACGCCACUAAGAAACCUUCAAACUGCUUCGUUUAAACCAUUUUUUGAAUCGAAAGGGAUAUGCAAGUUGAGCAACAACAGCUUGCUGAUUCCAUUUCCACGCACACCACUGUAUACAGAAGUAAAUUUCAGUAGUGCAACGUUGUUCAACUUUUUUAUGCUUAAUUGAAUUUACAACAAAAAUUCAAUAUAUAAAAUUGAAUUGAGAAAAUUCGUAAGAUCACCGCAAUUGCAUUAAAAUGUUAGUAUGUAUGUAUGUAAAACCAAAUAAUUAACAAAAUUUAAGCUUUUUAUAAAAAAAUGUUGUCCCCAAAAAUGGGAAAGUUACAAAAAUUAUAUGUAUAUGUGCAAUAUGUAUAUAGCACAUAGCGGAUAUUUAUUUGCAUACACAUACAUAUAGAUUAAAAGAUAAGUAAAUUUGUAGCUUUUAGCGGAGCGGCAGAGAGCGCAAUUAUUUAUAAAUAUUUGCAGCGUAGUUUUUUAUAUUGAGAGCAACAAUGAAGCGAAAAAAAGACAAAAUUAGCACAUUUUUACUAAAGUUGAAAGUAUGUAUGCGAAACCACAUACACACAUACUUAUAUACCCUAUACAAUUAAGCAGCAAGCAUUAACUGAGGCAAAGUAAAGUAUUUUGCAUUUGGUUUCAAGUUAAAAGUAAAAAAAAAAUCUAAUUGAAUUUAAAAAAACAAGGAUUUGCGGCUAAUUAAUAACUAAUUAAAUAUAUGAAAUAUAACCACAUAUUUAACUAAAAUGUAUUUAUGAAGAAAGAAACACUUAUCUAAUGUUAAUGUGUGCUGGCAACACAAUCUCUUCAGUAAUUAUUAAAAAAGAGAAAAAAGGGAGUAUAGUAAGAAGUGAUGAUUAUUUCAAAAUACUAAAGCUGAAUAAUAAUUUCGUAAUUUAAUUUUAUUCAUUUUAAAUUUGAAUUAUUUAAUUACAUUUUUGUUAUAAUAAUUUUUCCAAACCUGCUUGUAUUUCAGCACAAAAGUUAACUGAAUUGAAAAAUUCGCAGAAUUGGAAUAAAAUUGAUGUGAAUUUUGGCACAGAUGUCAUUGACAGUCAUACCAACCUAGAAAAAAAUAUUUCGAAGCAUGGGUUUUCGCCCAAAAAUUAAAAUAUUUAAGUCUUACUAUAUUUUGCCCACAGUAGUACGGUCGGUAUUAAUGCCAGAAUUUUUAAAUGUAGAUAAUUCAAGCUUCUCAUAAAUAGAGCGUUGACACUUUUUGAAUGACGAAUACAAGCUAUAAAAUCUUUUUGAAGUUGAAAAUUUGUUGAAGCUAUAUUUCUCUGUAAGCUGAAGCUUGAAACUUGAACAAUUUCAUUCACAGAUUCCUAAGACUAGAACUUAUCGGGCAAAGUAGUUAUCGGCAAAAUUUUGAUUUGUGAUCCACAAUGUUCCAUAACCAUAUAAACAUUCCAAAAAUAAUAAGGUUCAAGUAUUGAUUGAAUUGAAAUUUUUCAAAGGCACUGUAUUGAAAGUUAAAGUCAUUAGCUUAAUUUAAUCCACUUAUAACAAUCACAAUCGAAAUUAAGAAAAUGGUAUAAUAGAGAAGAUAAUUCACUUGCCCGUUUCAGAAGUUUCGAAGUUCCAGUGCUCAUAUUUCUUAUUCAAUUUCGAAAGAAUUGUAAUCGCACAAUGACACAAAAUAAUCAACGCUAUAUUUUCCUGUAGUUCAAAGGGUUUGAAAAAUAAUUAAUUUCCUCCUUAACUUUAAUUUACUUAGUUACCUUUGAUUGCCGUUAGCUUUCGUAAACAUUUUGCCAGUAAAUACUUUAGCAAAAAUUUGUUCGCAGCAAUCAAAUAAUUUUUAUUUUUCGGUUUCAUUUAAACAUUAAUUAAAUUAUGGCCUUUGAAUACAAAAAUGUUGAAGUUUAUAAACAAAAAAAAAAAAUACUUUUUCUGCUAUAAGCCUAACUGUAUAAUCAAAUUAAUGCACCUCAAAGCUUUAAAACUAUAAUUAAUACUUAAUAACUAAAUAUUUAAUUGACUAACGGUAUUUUUAAUAAAAUUCUUUGCAUACAAAUCAAGCAAUAAAAUCGUGAGAGAAAGUACAGUUAAAUCAUAAAUAUAUAUAUGAACAUAUCGCUGAUAAAGAUAUGAUGACCUGAGCAACAAAAACUUACUUAUAAACAAAUUUAAAUAUAAACUGUUAAAAAACGGCUAAAAUAGUUAAAAAGAUUUAAAACGCAUAUAUAAAACUGUUAAUUAAUGAAAUAAAAGGAAAUUAAAAUCAUGUUAUAUAAUAUUUGUAUGUAAUGAAAGCUAAGCAAUGCAAUGUAAAGAAGGCUUACGCUUAAUCUGCAAAUGAAGUUACAACUGUACAUUUCGAAACACCCUAUACGAUCGAGUUUUCUUAAAUGAAAUAUGACAAAACACCUACGUACACACAUAUAUUUAUAUACAAGUGUGUUUUCGAAAACCCAUUAAUGGCGGGAGUAACUAUUGUUUGCAAAUAAACUUGGCAAAUUUGAAACUGAAAUAUAUAUUUCAAGAAAAUAUUAA
Long non-coding RNA from Bactrocera neohumeralis, 5840 nucleotides. RefSeq lists it as uncharacterized. The record is from RefSeq and is a predicted model, not a curated record. The transcript has 2 exons. NCBI's taxonomy places the organism in Eukaryota, Metazoa, Arthropoda, Insecta, Diptera, Tephritidae.